AUAGAGAGAAAGAAAAGACAGUUUAAAGUAAUGUCAAUAAACUUAAUUUGAAAAAUUAUGCUCAACUUUCUCUUAGGUCUAAAUAUAAUGAUAAACAAGAAACAUUUUUUAUAAUAUCAUUGUAUAUCAGAAUCUAUUCAAAUGCCAAGUAUUUGGUAUGUAAGUACUAAAGUAAAAAUUUUCAAUUCUACUUUAAAGCAUGGAUAAAAUGAGAAUAAAGCAAGCUCUCUU
Molecule: long non-coding RNA, 231 nt
Organism: Perognathus longimembris pacificus (Pacific pocket mouse)
Lineage: Eukaryota; Metazoa; Chordata; Mammalia; Rodentia; Heteromyidae
Exons: 3
Source: RefSeq, a predicted model, not a curated record